GUCUUUUUGAGUAUUAUUUAAAGUCUGGCCUGCCCACUGAUUUAUUUAAAUGGCCGCAGUAUUUUGACUGUGCAAAGGUAGCAUAAUCAUUAGUUUUUUAAUUAAGAACUGGAAUGAAAGGUUGAACGAGAAAAUAACUGUCUCUUUAUAAAUUAUUUAAAAUUUUAUUUUUAAGUUAAAAAGCUUAAAUUAAAUUAAAAGACGAGAAGACCCUAUAGAGUUUUAUAUAAUAUAAAAUAAUUUUUUUAAAUAGAAUUAUUAAGUAAUUAUUAAUUAUUAUAUUUAGUUGGGGUGAUUAAAAAAUUUAAUAAACUUUUUUUUAAUUUAAACAUUUAUUUAUGAUUUAUUGAUCCAUUAUUAAUGAUUAAAAGAUUAAAUUACCUUAGGGAUAACAGCGUUAUUUCUUUGAAGAGUUCUAAUCGAUAAAGAAGUUUGCGACCUCGAUGUUGGAUUAAAAUUAAAUUUUGGUGUAGAAGCUAAAAGGUUAGGUCUGUUCGACCUUUAAAAUUUUACAUGAUCUGAGUUUAAACCGGUGUGAGCCAGGUUGGUUUCUAUCUUUAAUUAAUUUUAAUAUUUUAGUACGAAAGGACCAAAUAUUAGUAAAAUUUAUUAAUAAGUGAAUAUUAUUAAUUU
Molecule: ribosomal RNA, 633 nt
Filed under: Ecitodonia sp. HE-2012
Lineage: Eukaryota; Metazoa; Arthropoda; Insecta; Coleoptera; Staphylinidae
Description: partial 16S ribosomal RNA
Rfam family: Bacterial large subunit ribosomal RNA (bases 388-546)
Source: RNAcentral